RNAcentral lists this ribosomal RNA (253 nucleotides) under uncultured bacterium. RNAcentral's name for it is "partial 16S ribosomal RNA". It matches the Rfam family "Bacterial small subunit ribosomal RNA", at positions 524 to 776 of the family's 1533-position model. The record is from RNAcentral.
UACGUAGGGUGCAAGCGUUGCCCGGAUUUAUUGGGCGUAAAGGGCGCGUAGGCGGCUCUGCACGUCCGUUGUGAAAUCGCCCGGCUCAACUGGGCGGGGUCAGCGGAUACGGCAGAGCUUGAGCAAGCUAGGGGGCAAUGGAAUUCCCGGUGUAGUGGUGGAAUGCGCAGAUAUCAGGAGGAACACCGGUGGCGAAGGCGGGUCUCUGGGAAACAACUGACGCUGAGGAACGAAAGCGUGGGUAGCAAACAGG